CUUAUCCUUGUGAAAGACCUAUGUCUAUGGUUGUGGUUGAGCCAUUAAAUCUCCCUAACCAAGAUGUAGAGAAGUUGGAAGACGCCCUCGCCAAGAUGAAGCAAGAGAAAGAUAUGUGGGAAGAGCAUUUCCGUGCUUUGAGCAAGAAGCAUGAAGAGUUGCAGUUGGAGUCUAAGGACAAAGAUGCACUUAUUGAGCUACUUGAAGACCGAGUGACGAAGAGACAGAGUGAGCC
RNAcentral lists this long non-coding RNA (235 nucleotides) under Lathyrus oleraceus (garden pea). RNAcentral describes it as "Pisum sativum (pea) long non-coding RNA (PSAT_LNC020954)". The record is from RNAcentral. Lineage: Eukaryota; Viridiplantae; Streptophyta; Magnoliopsida; Fabales; Fabaceae.